UACGUAGGGUGCAAGCGUUAAUCGGAAUUACUGGGCGUAAAGCGUGCGCAGGCGGUUAUGUAAGACAGAUGUGAAAUGCCCGGGCUUAACCUGAGAACUGCAUUUGUGACUGCAUGGCUAGAGUUUGGCAGAGGGGGGUAGAAUUCCACGUGUAGCAGUGAAAUGCGUAGAUAUGUGGAGGAACACCGAUGGCGAAGGCAGCCCCCUGGGUCAAGACUGACGCUCAUGCACGAAAGCGUGGGGAGCAAACAGG
This 253-nucleotide ribosomal RNA is filed under the name uncultured bacterium. RNAcentral's name for it is "partial 16S ribosomal RNA". It matches the Rfam family "Bacterial small subunit ribosomal RNA", at positions 524 to 776 of the family's 1533-position model. The record is from RNAcentral.